This 497-nucleotide ribosomal RNA is filed under the name uncultured bacterium. RNAcentral describes it as "partial 16S ribosomal RNA". It matches the Rfam family "Bacterial small subunit ribosomal RNA", at positions 28 to 507 of the family's 1533-position model. The record is from RNAcentral.
GAUGAACGCUGGCGGCGUGCCUAAUACAUGCAAGUCGAGCGAACGGACGAGGAGCUUGCUUCUCUGAUGUUAGCGGCGGACGGGUGAGUAACACGUGGAUAACCUACCUAUAAGACUGGGAUAACUUCGGGAAACCGGAGCUAAUACCGGAUAAUAUUUUGAACCGCAUGGUUCAAUAGUGAAAGACGGUCUUGCUGUCACUUAUAGAUGGAUCCGCGCUGCAUUAGCUAGUUGGUAAGGUAACGGCUUACCAAGGCAACGAUGCGUAGCCGACCUGAGAGGGUGAUCGGCCACACUGGAACUGAGACACGGUCCAGACUCCUACGGGAGGCAGCAGUAGGGAAUCUUCCGCAAUGGGCGAAAGCCUGACGGAGCAACGCCGCGUGAGUGAUGAAGGUCUUCGGAUCGUAAAACUCUGUUAUUAGGGAAGAACAAAUGUGUAAGUAACUGUGCACAUCUUGACGGUACCUAAUCAGAAAGCCACGGCUAACUACGUG